CCUACGGGAGGCAGCAGUGAGGAAUAUUGGUCAAUGGGCGCUAGCCUGAACCAGCCAAGUAGCGUGAAGGAUGACGGCCCUAUGGGUUGUAAACUUCUUUUAUAUGGGAGUAAAGUGCAGUAUGUAUACUGCUUUGCAUGUACCUUAUGAAUAAGGAACGGCUAACUCCGGUCCAGCAGCCGCGGUUAUACGGAGGAGCCGAGCGUUAUCCGGAUUUAAUGGGUUUAAUGGGGGCGUAAGGGGGUUUGUAAGUCAGGCGUGAAAGUUUGCGGCUCAACCGUAAACUUGCAGUUGAUACUGGUAUCCUUGAGUGCAGGAGAGGUAUGCGGAAUUCGUGGUGUAGCGGUGAAAUGCUUAGAUAUCACGAAGAACUCCGAUUGCGAAGGCAGCCUGCUGGCCUGUAACUGACGCUGAUGCUCGAAAGUGUGGGUAUCAAACAGGAUUAGAUACCCCAGUAGUC
This 460-nucleotide ribosomal RNA is filed under the name uncultured bacterium. RNAcentral describes it as "partial 16S ribosomal RNA". It matches the Rfam family "Bacterial small subunit ribosomal RNA", at positions 338 to 795 of the family's 1533-position model. The record is from RNAcentral.